Molecule: ribosomal RNA, 1329 nt
Filed under: Salmonella enterica
Lineage: Bacteria; Pseudomonadati; Pseudomonadota; Gammaproteobacteria; Enterobacterales; Enterobacteriaceae
Description: partial 23S ribosomal RNA
Rfam family: Bacterial large subunit ribosomal RNA
Source: RNAcentral
GGGUUGUGAGGUUAAGCGACUAAGCGUACACGGUGGAUGCCCUGGCAGUCAGAGGCGAUGAAGGACGUGCUAAUCUGCGAUAAGCGCCGGUAAGGUGAUAUGAACCGUUAUAACCGGCGAUUUCCGAAUGGGGAAACCCAGUGUGACUCGUCACACUAUCAUUAACUGAAUCCAUAGGUUAAUGAGGCGAACCGGGGGAACUGAAACAUCUAAGUACCCCGAGGAAAAGAAAUCAACCGAGAUUCCCCCAGUAGCGGCGAGCGAACGGGGAGGAGCCCAGAGCCUGAAUCAGCAUGUGUGUUAGUGGAAGCGUCUGGAAAGGCGCGCGAUACAGGGUGACAGCCCCGUACACAAAAGCGCAUGUGCUGUGAGCUCGAUGAGUAGGGCGGGACACGUGGUAUCCUGUCUGAAUAUGGGGGGACCAUCCUCCAAGGCUAAAUACUCCUGACUGACCGAUAGUGAACCAGUACCGUGAGGGAAAGGCGAAAAGAACCCCGGCGAGGGGAGUGAAAAAGAACCUGAAACCGUGUACGUACAAGCAGUGGGAGCACAGGUUUACCUGUGUGACUGCGUACCUUUUGUAUAAUGGGUCAGCGACUUAUAUUCUGUAGCAAGGUUAACCGAAUAGGGGAGCCGGAGGGAAACCGAGUCUUAACCGGGCGUUAAGUUGCAGGGUAUAGACCCGAAACCCGGUGAUCUAGCCAUGGGCAGGUUGAAGGUUGGGUAACACUAACUGGAGGACCGAACCGACUAAUGUUGAAAAAUUAGCGGAUGACCUGUGGCUGGGGGUGAAAGGCCAAUCAAACCGGGAGAUAGCUGGUUCUCCCCGAAAGCUAUUUAGGUAGCGCCUCGUGAAUUCAUCUCCGGGGGUAGAGCACUGUUUCGGCUAGGGGGCCAUCCCGGCUUACCAACCCGAUGCAAACUGCGAAUACCGGAGAAUGUUAUCACGGGAGACACACGGCGGGUGCUAACGUCCGUCGUGAAGAGGGAAACAACCCAGACCGCCAGCUAAGGUCCCAAAGUCAUGGUUAAGUGGGAAACGAUGUGGGAAGGCCCAGACAGCCAGGAUGUUGGCUUAGAAGCAGCCAUCAUUUAAAGAAAGCGUAAUAGCUCACUGGUCGAGUCGGCCUGCGCGGAAGAUGUAACGGGGCUAAACCAUGCACCGAAGCUGCGGCAGCGAACGUAUCACCCAAGACAACUUUACGGAGUUGACGAUUGACGGAGCGAAGCGACGUCAAAGCGUUCAUUAAAGUCGAGUUGGCUUAGGGAUACGUUCGUUGGGUAGGGGAGCGUUCUGUAAGCCUGUGAAGGUGGCCUGUGAGGGUUGCU